Pogona vitticeps (central bearded dragon) is the source of this 296-nucleotide non-coding RNA. Lineage: Eukaryota; Metazoa; Chordata; Lepidosauria; Squamata; Agamidae. The record is from RefSeq and is a predicted model, not a curated record.
UCAGAACAGUCUUCAGUGGGAAGACAUAGAAUCCAAGGCCAUAGGGCUGAAUAGAAAAGAAGCUGCAUCUUUAGAGCAAGUACAUGAAGAUCAAAAGCUUGCUUGCAGUGCAAAUAUCUCUGAGCCAAAUUAUACAUGACAGCACCCAUCGAUGAAGCGCUGUCCCAUGCUCCUCGCAGCUCCUAUUGGGCCAAACGUGCUGACGCCAUCCGUAUCGCCUCUCCGGAAAUGCAGUCCAGUUGCCAAGUCGCCUCUUCCCCACGUUCCUUUUGCCGCCGUUUCACUGUCAGCUCAUU